AUGGCUACAAGUUGUACCGUAACCACGGUGAUUGAUAUGAGGAUUAUCUUCUGAAUAUAAUAAGUAAUAUGAUAGGCCUACCAUAAAUUAUUUCAAAGAAGUAAUUUAUUUAAAACACAUAAUAAUGAAGUUUGAUGUUGAAUCUAACCACACAUAAAUAUGCUCAUUUUUUUCCCUUUAGUCUUUGCUACUAACAUUCAUCAACCGCAAAAUUAGAAAAUUGCGUUUUUAAAUAACGAUGCAUGGAAAAUAAAAU
This is a long non-coding RNA of Etheostoma spectabile (orangethroat darter), 256 nucleotides long. RefSeq lists it as uncharacterized. The transcript has 3 exons. Lineage: Eukaryota; Metazoa; Chordata; Actinopteri; Perciformes; Percidae. The record is from RefSeq and is a predicted model, not a curated record.